This 185-nucleotide unclassified non-coding RNA is filed under the name uncultured Mortierellales. RNAcentral describes it as "sequence contains ITS1". Lineage: Eukaryota; Fungi; Mortierellomycota; Mortierellomycetes; Mortierellales. The record is from RNAcentral.
CUAAAGUGUUUAUGGCACUUUCAAAUCCAUUACCCACCUUGUGUGCAUUGUCGGGGAGAGGACUCUUUCUCAAUCUCCCUUUCUCUCUCUCGGGAGGAGGAAAAUGGGUGAGGGGAUUCUCCUUUUUACACAUACUAUGUUCUUCAGUAUCAGUCUACUUUUAUUGAGUGUAAAAAACUCUAAUA